UACGUAGGGUGCAAGCGUUUAUCCGGAAUUAUUGGGCGUAAAGAGCUCGUAGGCGGUUUGUCGCGUCUGCUGUGAAAAACUGGAGGCUCAAUCUCCAGCCUGCAGUGGGGUACGGGCAAACUAGAGUGCGGUAGGGGAGAUUGGAAUUCCAGGUGUAGCGGUGAAAUGCGUAGAUAUCUGGAGGAAUACCGGUGGCGAAGGCGGCAUCCUGGACCGACAUUGACGCUGAUGAGCGAAAGCUAGGGGAGCAAACGGGG
Molecule: ribosomal RNA, 257 nt
Filed under: uncultured bacterium
Lineage: Bacteria
Description: partial 16S ribosomal RNA
Rfam family: Bacterial small subunit ribosomal RNA
Source: RNAcentral